GUUUGGUGUGGCCAACACUACAAACGCUCCUGUGCUCGACAGUGAUGGCAACGAGCUCCGCACUGGCACCCCAUACUUCGUUGUGUCGUCGAUAUGGGGUGCUGGUGGUGGGGGGCUUGACCCAGGCAGGCCUAGAGGAAAGCCAUGCCCGGAAGUCGUUGCUCAAAGAGGAUCUGGUGACAAUGGUAUUCCGGUGAUAUUUUCUAAUUCGGACUCCAAAGAUGGCGUUGUUCGCCUAUCCUCUGACAUAAACAUAGCGUUCGUUCCCCUCAGACCCAAAUUUUGCGAAACAACAACGGUGUGGAAGGUCGCUGAUUACGACCACUCAGCCGGAAAAUGGUGGGUGAUAACCGAUGGGGUUAAAGGGAACCCAGGUGCCAACACUUUGACCAGUUGGUUUAGAAUAGAGAAGACGACUACUGAUUUUGAUUACACAUUUAAGUACUGCCCCGCAGUAUGUGGAACAUGCCCAGCCUUAUGCAACAAAAUUGUGAGAGACUUUGAUGGAGAAAUGGUACGUUUGGCUCUCACCACUGGCCAUGGAUGGCCAUUUAUCUUUAAGAAAGUUGGAAAAUCAGCCAUGGAGAUUGAACAAGUUGUUCAUAAUUAGAUUGAAAGCAAUCAUUAUGCAUGAACUAGUAGUUACUACAUAAUAUUAGCUUCAAGUAAAUAAUGCUGAGGGAACUUAUUGUUAAGAUUGCCUUGUUUGAAGCGGCAGCAUGUAUAUAUAUAUGCUUGCUUACAAGGUUUGUCUCUCAGAGUCCUCCUCUUUGUACUCUUUUCAGCUUAAUGAAUAAACUGUUUACUUAUUUACUUCUUUUGUUGCCAUUGAUUCUAGUAGCAUUCGACUCAUUAACUUGGAUACAUUACCUUGUAAUUAACCAAAAAGUUAUGUGUAUAUAUAUAAAGAGUGUGUGAGAGAAAAAAUAAAAUACCAAGUACCAAGUGAAAAAUGUUAAUACUAGGAUUAUUCAAAGCGAUUUCAAUGAACAGAAAUGGAAUAGUCGUCGGGUGGUUAGGACAUUUUAUCUUUAGAGAUAAAGAAGGUUGGUUCAUGUUCGGAGUUUGUGGCCACUCCUUCAAUAAUAUCGUUUUUAAAGUUUAAACUUGUAUCACAUUUUAAACACGUAAUGUAUCUUACCAUUACAUCCAACAAUAUUAACCAUUUACUCUAUUGUAUUGUAUUGUAUUCUAUUAUUAAUUAAUGAUUAUGAUAUGUAUUAAGUUUAAGAUGAAUUUUCUCAGUAAUGUAUAUCAAUGAAAUCAAAUAUUUGUAUUUAAAGUUUUAACUCCACAUUAACUUUUUUUUUAUUUUGUCCGUUUGCUGGCGAUGAUUAGGAGAUUAAUGGUUGGUAUUUGUGGUUAGUAGCUUAUAACUCGAGGGUUGAUAGUGGCCCGACUCCACUUAAAUAAAAAAUUUUACAUUUAAAUUUCUUUAUAAUUUAUAAAAUUUUAAAUUAAUAAUAAAAAAUUAUAUUUUAACUCUCUAAAAUUAAUAAAAAUGAUAAAAAUGUAGAAGUAAAUUUAUACAAUUAAUGAUAAUAAUGAUAAGAAGUUGUUUCCUAUCACAUGGAAAUUUAUGGCAUCGUCCAUUUGGUUUUAUAUUUGUCCAUUUGCUUGGUUAAGAGUUGAAAGACAAACUAUAAUUAAAUAUACAAAACCAAACGAAUUUCAAGGGUUUUCUCUUCAAUUAUUGUCGAAUUUAGCUAAUUAUUAGUAAUUUUUAUUAUUUAAUUAUAAAAAUUAUAAAAUAGUGACUUAAUUAUAAAUAUAUAUAUAUAUAUAAAAUAGCCAUCUAAUUAUUUAAUUUUUUUCUUUUUUAUCAUCACAGGAUUAAUGGUGGUAAUUUUUAUAAUUGACAUAAUAGUAACUUUAACCAUUAAUAAUUAUACAUUAUGUCAAUUUAGUCUUGAUUCUAAAAAAUUUAACCUUUGACAUUUACACAUAUAUAAUUUGAUAUUUUUAUAAUUUUAUUUUUUACUAAAAAUAAAUCAUGAAAAUAAUAAAAUAUGCAUAAAAAUAAAAAUACAGCUACCGAGUAUAUGUCUUAUUGUAGAUUUAUAACAAUUAUCUUUUCAUAAAGAUAUUUUAUUAUAAAAUAUAUAAUAAGCACUUCCCUGUAACAAAUAAAAUUGUAGUAAACAAAUGAAAUUAUUAUAAAGAAGAAUUUUCUAUUUUCAUAAUAAUAAUAAUAAUAAUAAAAGAAAAGAAAAAAGUGGUUCUAUUAAUUCACCUCACAUUUGAAAUAUGUUAUAUGUAAUAAUAUUAAUGUCUUUAUCAAUUUUGGUGGUUCAUCCUUUCCCAUCUCUAUAAAUUUGCAUGCAGAACUAAAGCAACACAUAUCAACACAAUCUGUAUAACCAUGAAAACCACAACAGCUUCGGUGUUUCUUCUUUUCAUCAUCUUCUCAAUCACACCAUUGUCCUUUUCGUUUGGUGUGGCCAACACUACAAACGCUCCUGUGCUCGACAGUGAUGGCAACGAGCUCCGCACAGGCACCCCAUACUUCGUUGUGUCGUCGAUAUGGGGUGCUGGUGGUGGGGGGCUUGCCCUAGGCAUGCCUAGAGGAAAGCCAUGCCCGGAAGUCGUUGCUCAAAGAGGAUCCGGUGACGAUGGUAUUCCGGUGAUAUUUUCUAAUUCGGACUCCAACGAUGGCGUUGUUCGCCUAUCCUCUGACAUAAACAUAGAGUUCAUUCCCCUCAGACCCAGAUUUUGCCAAACAACAACGGUGUGGAAGGUCGAUGAUUACGACCACUCAGCCGGAAAAUGGUGGGUGAUAACCGAUGGGGUUAAAGGGAACCCAGGUGCCAACACUUUGACCAGUUGGUUUAGAAUAGAGAAGGCGGGUGAUCUUGAUUACCCAUUUAAGUACUGCCCCGCUGUAUGUGGAACAUGCCCAGCCUUAUGCAACAAAAUUACGAGAGACUCAGAUGGAGAAAUGAUACGUUUGGCUCUCUCCGCUGGCCAUGGAUGGCCAUUUUUCUUUAAGAAAUUUCAAACAUCAGCCAUGGAGAUUGAACAAGUUGUUCAUAAUUAGAUUGAAAGCAAUCAUUAUGCAUGAACUAGUAGUUACUAUACAAUAUUAGCUUCAAGUAAAUAAUGCUGGGAGAACUGAUUGUUAAGAUUGCCUUGUUUGAAGCAGCAGCAUGUAUAUAUAUAUGCUUGCUUACAAGGUUUGUCUCUCAGAGUCCUUCUCUUUGUACUCUUUUCAGCUUAAUAUAUAAACUGUCUACUUAUUUACUUCUUUUAUUGCCAUUGAUUCUAGUAGUAUUAGACUCAUUAACUUGGAUACAUUGUCUUGUAAGAGAUAGCUUAUCUCUUAACAACUGUUUGGGUCAACAAAAUUAAUGUAUAUAUGAAAACGAAUAUUGAAUUUGGAUGUCCAAUCAAUUUUUUUAAUUAAUUAAUUAAAAAGAAUUGUUUUAAUUCAAAAAAUCUAAAAGAAUUUGAUAAAAAAUGUGGAAGGGCACACUUGUAUGAUGAAUAGUAGUGAUAAUAAUGAUAGAAGUCGUUUUCCUAGCACAAGUAUGGGAUUCGUCCAUUUGGUUUUAUAUUUAUCCACUUGCCUGAGUGUUUAAGAGUUAAAAAGGACAAAACUAUUAAGUAGAAAACACCAAACGAAUUGGAAGGCUUUUGUCUUCUUCAAUUAGUAUGACCUAUAUUUCUUAUUAAACUUCGUAUUUUACAUUCAAUAUCAUCAUCGCAAUCAUUUUAAUUUAUUUUCAUGAAUAAACUUUUAUGUCCCAUUUUAAUUGAAUCAUUAAAAAUUAUUAAUUGAAUUUUUUUUAAGUCAAGUGAUACUAAUUUGAUUUUUUUAAAAAAGUUGUUUGAAUUAAUUUGAUUUCGUGUCAUAAUUGACAUAAAUGGCCAUUGUGAAUGGCAACAUCAAUAGUUAUUGAGUACAGCGGCUAAAAUUUUCAGUUAAAAAAAAAAGAAUGAAAGGAAAACAAAAAGAAAAACGUGGAAAGAAAGAAAGAAAGAAAGAAUAAUAAUAAUAAUAAUAAUAAUAAAUAAAAUAGAAUUGUGGGGGCGAUGCUUUUGAACAAAUCUUGAUUUAAACUAUAUAAAGAAAAUAUGUGUUAUAUAUAUAAUUAAUUAUGUACUUAUACUUAAUAUAUUAUAUAUCUAAUGUCAUAUUUUCAUAUUCUCAGGAAGUGGUGACAUACAAAUACUUGAUUCGAUUUAUUUCUUUAGCUCCCCGUGAAUUGUAUGUUUGUAACAUUAGGGAUAGAAUUUCUUCAAUUAUCCAAUUGACUGGACGUAUUGUGUCGAUUUUUUUUUAGUAAUAUACCUAGAAAUACCCGUUGAUUCUUUAUAAACGCUGUUUCGAACACAACUGGUACACUCUAAAAUAAUUUACUUGAACAUCAUUACUCUUAGCCAUGAACCUCCUUUGAGUUUUUAAUUCACCCAACUUUUUUAUUUUCCGAUCAAAAGCAAAGAAGAAAGGAAUGAAAAGAAAAGAAAGAAAUCAAAGUUGCUAACUCAAAACCAAAUCCUGAAAAUUUUCAUUUCAAUGAAUAUAGUAAGUAAAUAUAGAUUUAUAGUAAUAGCAAAUAAUAAGAAUUAAGUAAUAUAACGAUUUUUAAUUCUAUUUAGAAUCAAUUAAAAUAUUCAAAUAAAUAUUCAAUUAAAAUAAAUUAAACUGUAUAAAUUUUAUAAUUUUAAAUUAUUAUUUUUGUAUUAAUUUAAAAACAAAAUAAAUAUUAUAUACAAUGAUUUAGUUACAGCGUGUCAGCUUGAAGUCUAAGACUUUAUAACAUAUAAAUUUAAUAGAUAAUUAAUAACUAAAAAAUUAAAUAGCAAAAGCAUAAUUGCGCCACUUCUCACCAUUUUAAUGUAUGCAACUUAUUAUAUAUUUAUAUAUAUUAUCAUUUUAUUUUAAAUAAUUUAAUUUUAUAAAUUUAGGGAUAAAUCUCAAAAUUAUACAUGAACUUUAAUUUAAUAUGCAAUUGUAUAUAUAAACUUUAAUUUGGUACAAUUAUACACGUGAUACUUUAAUUGUGGUUUAAAUACUCACUUGAAACUUUAGUUUUGAUUUAAUAAUGCAUAUUUAAAUAAAUAAAUACAUCAAUUUUUUUAUAUUGGGUAAAUAUAAUUAUUUAUGUAUGCAAUAUAUAACAUAAAAUGAUGUUAUAUCAAUAAUUGUGUUAAUAAUUUUCAAGAAUUGGAUCAAAUCAAAAUUUCAUGUAUAAAAUUGAACAAAAUCAAAGUUAAUGUAUACAAUUGCACAUUAAACCAUAAUUCAUGUAUAUUUUUUUGUAUAUAUCCCAUAAAUUUAUUUCAUUAACUUUUUACCUAUAUCAUAUAUAGAGUUGUUCGUGAACCGAGCCAAGGAAUGCCUGCUCGAAAAAAUGAGAGGGUUUGGCAAAAAAAUAUAUGCCUAAAAAAUGGGCUUGGAUAAAAAGACAAGGCCCGUUUAGAAAAUGAACCGGCAUUGAGUAGGGUUUUUUUGUCCGGGCUCAGCCUAACCCGAAUUUUCAAUUAAAAAAAACCUUGUUGUUUUUGCUGCUAUUUUUCCAUAUCUUGGUGUUGUUUUCUCACUUUUUGCCGCUAUUUUACUACCAUUUCACUAUUAUGUUACUACUAUUUUUUUUAAUGUUUGGAUAUAGUAUAAUAAUUGUUUUAUUGUUAAUUUUAUCACUAUUUUAGAGACAUUUGUUUGUUAUGUUGUACUUAUUUUAGUUUUUAUUUAAGUAUAAAAAAAUUUAAAAUUUAUUUUCAAUUUAUUGAUAAACAUGUAAUUUAAUAUUUUCAGUGUAUUUAUUGUAUUAUAUUUGUUAAAUUUAUAUAAAAUUAAAAUUAAAAAAAUAUGGACCGAGAUGGGAGUUUAACAAAAAUUUAGGCCCAUUUUUCAAGUCGGGCCGAUCUCAAACCUAACAAUCGGACUUAAAAUUUUGUUAGAGCUCGGCCCAUCCCAUGAACAACUCUAAUUAUAUAUAUAUGUCAUUCUCUAAUAAUAAUAAUAAUAAUAAUAAUAAUAAGUGGAUAACAUAAAACUAGUAGUAAAGAGUAAGAAGACAAAGAAGAAUUAAGUGGAUAACAUAAAACGUGCGAAAACAUUUAUCUUCAAUUCUGACACAUAAAGCUAGUAUUUUUGGGUAAAGUAUAGAAAUGGUGAUUAAAUUAUUGUUGAUGUUCUAUUUUAAUUUUUAAUUUUUCUAUUUUAGUUAUUAAAUUAUUUGAAAUUAAAUUUUUUGGUUAUCAAAGGUUAACAGUAGUUUGAAAUUUAACAGAAAUAUUGAUGUGAACUUUUCUUAUUGAUUUAAUAAUAAAUUUAGCCUUCUAAUAUUUAUAUAUUCUAUUAAUUUGAUACUAAAUAUAAAAAUUUAACAAAUUUAACCUUCAAUAUUUACAAAUUUUGUUAUUUUAAUUCAAAUUCUAAAAAAAAUUUAAUAAAUUUAACCCUCAACAUUAAAAAAUUUGAUAAAUUUCAAUUUUUAAAAUUUUGUAAAUUCCUAAAAUAUAAAGCAUCAUUCUCCACCUCAUAGGAUUCCAUGUAAAUGGAUUUUCUUGAAUUCUUUACCAAGUUGUCUUGAGUUUAAUUUCUUCUUAUUUAGUUUGUGGAAUAAAUGGCAUAUAGUUAGAUGUCACUGCAGCUGACAAUGAAAGGUUUGACAAAGUUGAUAAAUUCAGAGCUUUUGAUGCUGAGCUUCAAAUCAGUCUUGCCUCCACUCACCCAAGAAAUCAACUUUACAAUUUUUAUUAAGUCUUAACUAGAUUAAUAUGAGUAUUGUUAUCAAUAUAGGAGAAAGUGAAUUUUAGUGCGUUGAAACACAUUAUCUUCUUAUUGAUGAAUUGAGGAGGGGCUAUGAAUAGUUUUAAAUAUUAUAUUAAAAAAGCAGAGAUAAUUGAAACCUACAAUAAUAUUGUUCAAAAAAAUUACCUAAAAACACGAAAUCUUACUCCCUGAAUUUUCUAGAAACACAAAUAUUUCUCCCUGCCUUUGAUGGUGUAUACAUGCAUGGCCAUGUGUGAGCUCCUGCAUUUUAACUAAUCAACACAGAUAAUACCCUCAAUGAGACAUUAAAAUUAACUUUUAUUUUUGUUUUUUCAUAAAUUUUAUAAUUUUGUAUUUCAAUGAAAAAAUCUAAAUCUAAGUUGAUCCGAGUCCAAAAAAAAAUCUGAAGCUGUAAAAAGUUUGAUCUGAGGCUGCUCAUUUGCCACCUCUAAUAACCAUUUGAUAGAGGUUUAAUAUAAAGGAAUUUAGAUUUUAGGAAUUUAUAAAAUUUUUAAAAUUAAUUUUUUAUUUGUAAAUACUAAGGGAUAAAUCUAUUGAAGUUUUUAAAAUUUGAACUGAAAUGUCAAAAUUUGUAAACAUUGAAGGCUAAAUUUGUUUAUUUUUUCUAUUUAAGACCAAUCUGAUAGAAUGUGUACACAUUAGAAGACUAAAUUUAUUAUUAGACCAAUAAAAAAAUGCCCAACUUAACGCUUUCUCAAAUUUCAAACCGAUGUUAAUAUUCAAUGACCAAAAUUUUUUAUUUCAAAUAGUUUAGUGACCAGAAUAGAAAAAAAAUUAAAAGUUUGAUGACCAAAAUAGAACGCGGAUAAUAAUUUAAUGAUAUUUUUAUACUUUAUCUGUUUUUUAUGAUUAUUUAUACAUAUCAAGUGGAGCUAAUUUAGGGAAAAGAAUCAAUGGUUAAGGUUGUUGUUGAUACUUAAUGAUCAGGGUCCAAAUUUUGCUAAUGUAAUUUUCCUUAUCAUAAUUUGUAUCUUAAUUUUGUUACCAAAAAAAUAUUAGUAAUAAAUAAUAUAUGCUCGAGAAAUGUACGUAUGAUUGAUUUAAACAAUACAUGUUGGAGUAAUUUACAUAUGGAUUUAAAAUAAAUUUUAAAAAUAAAAUAAAAUUUUAAAAAUCCAAAAGUAUUUUUUCUUUUAAAAAAAUUUAAAAAUAAUUUUUAAAUUAUUUACAUGAUUGAUUUAAAGGAUUUCUUUCUAUUAAUUAUUUUUAUAUUAAAUUUAUUUUCCUUUAUGUAUAACAUUUAAAGGGUUUGUAUAUAUGCUAACUCGCGAGUCAAUUAAAAUUUGUAUUAUAUUCAUUGAAUUUUUUUAAAAUAUAUAUUUUAUUAAUUUAUUUAUUUAUUUGAGACCCAUGAUAAACUUGUAUUUAAAGUUAUUGGUGCACACUAUAAAUUCAUAUAUUGAAAAUGAUAGGUGCUAAAAGUAACAUGUUUUAGUCUCAUUCUUAAUGUGUUUUUGGAUGAUUAUUCGAUAUAAAAUGGUUAAUUUUAUGCUACUAAACUUUUCAAUUUACGUUCUACACUUAAUAGAGCAUUUAGGAGCAAAAGAAGCGAAAAACGAGCGAAAAUAAAAAAAAUAGGAGCAAGUCUCAAAAGCCACACAGGCUGAGCCAUUCCACACGGGUUGGACACAUAACCGAGUGAGCCACACGACCAUGUGCUAGACUGUGUGGAAAUCGCAAAUUACACUCCAAACGGCGUGAAAACACGUUAAUUUUAAGGUUUUUUAAGCAUUUUAAUACCUAUACAUGACAAAGAUAAGAAGAGGGGAGAGAGUCGUCAGAAAAUAUUAAAGAAAACAACUUAAAAAACACCAUUGAAGCUAACUUUGAAGCAAAUUUUCAUCAAGAUUGAAGAUCUCAUUUUGAUUUUUUUGAAGUUUAUUAUGAGUUUCUUUAUUUAUUGUAGUUAUACUGUCUUUAGGAUGUUUUUAUUUGCUAUCAUGAACGAAUUUUCUAAAUACCUAGGGAGAUGAAUCCUAUCAUGAAUUAUGUUAUUUGAUUUCUAUUUUUACGUAAUAAAGACUUAGAUCUUAUUCUCAAUUAUGUGUGCUUAAUUCUUGGUUUAAUAUUUCUAGACUAUUAAUCAAUGUUUGAUGUGCUUAAAUCAGAGGAGGAAUAAACCCUAUUUAAGAGUAGAUCUAGCGUAAAUGAGUGGAGUUGCAUGCAAUCCUAGAAAUAGGACAACAUAAAUCUACCGUAAUAGAUCCAAAUCUAAUAGGGGAAUCUAUAGAUCGAGUUAAUACGAUGAUAGAGGUUUUAAUUAGAAAUAAAUUUCAGUUAAUUAACCUAGAGUCAGUUACUCUUAGUCUUGAAGAGAUAUAUUAGCAUAAUUUAGGGAUUUUUACAGAUCAAUAUUCUAAGUGACGAAGUUGUGUAAUAUAGAUUGAUAAUGACAUAUGAAGUCUAGGUAGAUUCUUUCCUAGGUAUUGUCUCGCUCUUGGUUAUUAUUUGAUUAUUUUCUUGAUUUGUGCUUUGUUGUGUUAUUUAGUUAACUAAUUUAGUUAAUUUUAGUUCCAACCAAUCACUCCAAUUUAUCAGUUAAAUAAUAGAAAAGACGGUAAUUACUGGUACUUUUAGUCUUUGUGAAAACGAUAUCUUUGCUCACUAUAACUAUACUAUUAAUUGAUGUGCACUUGUCUGAGUUAGAUUUUUAGUUGGUUUACGACUGCAAUCAAAAAACUCAUUAAGUUAGCACAAACUAAGUUAAUUAUUCGUUGGUUGCUUUAUUUUUUUUCCUGAAGUUUCGAUUUCAUCUUUCAUUAUGUACAACAAUUUUGGUAUAAAAAUAUCAAAUUCUCGACACUUAAUAUAUACCUUUGAAAUAUAAACACAUGCAUCAAUUUUUUUAGGUUCCUCACAACUUACUUGUCCAAAAUUCUUGUAUCUUUCAGUUCUCCUGAUUGAAUCAAAAUUUGACUUUGUAAUUAUUUUUUAAGGACCUCAAACUAUCAAUUUAUAGUAUAAAUUUUCAAUAGCUUUCAUUCUUUACAAAUUGGUCCCUAAUUAAUCAACAAUGGUAUUAAAGCUUAAGCUUAGGGUCCCGUUGUUUCACUGAAAAUGGCUUUCGAAAAAUAAUUUCUAGAAAAUGACUUACUUUCCUAGAAAAGUUAAUAUUUUCUGAUGUUUGGAUGAAUCAGUGUAAAAUAUUUUAUAUUGUUUGACAAAUUUCUUAAAAAUAUUUCAUAAAAGCUGUUUUCAAUGAAACAAACAUGCAUUUGAGAUUUUCUUAUCUUUUCAUUGUUUAAUUAAGUUUAUCUUAUAUCUAUAAAUUUAUAUUUUACAUUUUUUUGCAUAUAAUAAAAAUAUAUAUUUUUUAAUUCAGGUUCACUACCAUGUCACUUUUUAGUUACAUGACUACCAAGUGAGUAUUUUUUUUAUUUAAAAAUGUGACAUCAACAAAAUUGACAAAAAAAAAAUUUAGCAAUGUCAACAAUUGGACUUGAUUUUCAAAUCUGAAAAGUAGAGGGACUAAAUUCUUGAAAAUAAAAGUAUAGAGACUAAAUUGAAAAUUUGUGAAGAAUACAUAGACUUAUCACAUUUUUUAACUUUUAUACUACAAAAUAUUUAUCAUUAAUAUAUUUAUAAUUAUAAUAAAUAUUUAUUAUUAAAAUAUUAAUAUUAAAUAUUUUCAAUAAGAAGAAUAUUAUUUAAAAUUAUUUUUUUUAAUUUUUUAUUAAAAUAAAAUUGAAAUAUUAAAUAAUUUAUUAAAAUAAUUAAUUUUAUUAAUAAUUAAUUUUAUGACUAAAUAUAAAUAAUUAAAUAUGUGUGUUUAAUAAUAUUGAAAUAUAUAAUAUUUUAUAUUAAUAUUUUAAAUAUUUUUAAAAAUAAAAAUAAAAUUUAUUUUCAAUAUAAUAAUAUUAAUAUUGAUUUAAAUGAAUUUUUAUAUAAAAAUAAAAUUACCUAUAGAUGAGCUCUUUUCCAGAAAAUGACUUACACUUUUCAAAAGGAUAAGUCAUUUUAUAGGAAAAAGAGUUCAAUUUUACAUUGACCUGUAAGUCAUUUUCCGAUGACCAAAAUGUUUUCUGUAAAAUAAACAUAAGAAAAUGAAGAAAAUAUUUUCCGUAAAACCUUUUACAUGUAAACAAACGGACCCUUAAUUCAAGCUUGUUCUAACAUAACCCACUUCACUAUUAGCAUGACUCUUCCUUAUACUAUGUUUAACCAUUAACCCUUCUCAUGAUUUCUAACAAAAAUUCUCUAAGUUCUCUUUAAUGGAAACUUCUAUUAGCUUCAACAAUAAGAAAUUCUAACCAUUGGGUUGGUUGUAUCAAGUUUCAUAGUUUAAAAAACUAUAAAAAAAUUAUUUAGAAAACAAUUUGUUUACCUUUGAUGGCCUUGAUGGAGAACAACUUGGUUUCUUCUUCUACUUAGUUUAAAGAAUGCAUGAAGAAGAAGAAGAUUUCCCCUCUCCCUCUAUCUUAAAUAUAUAUAUAAAUAACCUAUUAAUCAAGGUAAUUAACUCACUAAUUAAUCUUAAUUAGUUAUGAUCUAAUGGCCAUAAACUUACCAUAAGAAAAUUAGUGGAAAUGUGUGGCAUUGAUAAUGGUUUGCCAAUAAUCAAACUUCGGGCAUGGUAAUAUUGCAAUCAGGUCCUUGGUUUAAUUACACUUUAAGUACUUGCUAAAUUCUCUAAUCAAUUCCCACUAGUUGGAUCACUUGAACAAUUGGGUCCAUGUAUUAUAGUUACAACUUAUCUAAUUUAAUCAAUUAAUGAUUUGACUUUAUAAUUUCAUGUGCAACACACAAACUCCUCCGGUAAAUUCUCAAGCUAGCUUUAUUUAAAAAUUUGGCCUCAAAACCAGCUUUCCAAAUGUUCAUGAAAAUUGAGUUGUUACAUUAUGGUAUUUGUUUUGUUCAGCUUAUUUGUCAAGCUCUAUUCCUUUGAACUUAUGUUCGUUGACUUUGGUGUUGCUUAAAUGAAAAUGUGGUGAACAAUAUUAUGGAUAGGAGGAGUGUAUGAUUGAGUAUGUGUAACACCCCUAACCCACAUCCUUCGCCAAAUUAAAGUGACAGAGUGUUAUUAUUCAAAACAGAACAUUCCAUGACAACACAUAAACAAUUAUGCAAAUUAUCACAAUCAUUAAUUAACCAUAUUAAAAUAUAACAUAAGUAUCCAUACGACCUUUAAAUCGAGCUUAUAUGGCCUUAAAAAUAGCUUGGGAUCAAUCUAGGAUCAAUUUGGAACAUAACAUAAAUUUUAAGAAAAAUCUAAAAAUUUUGGGAAACAUGGGUCACACAACCGUAUGUCCAGGCCGUGUGACAUAGCCCAGACCUUGUGGGAAUUCAAAAUCAGGACACUCAAUCAUGUCCUAGCCCGUAUGUCUACCUGUGUGAAUAUUUGAAAUAGGGUCCCACAGUCGUGUCGCGGCCAUGUGCUAAACCGUGUAUAUAUUCAAAUUAUGAACACAUGGCCGUGUCGCAAGCCAUGUGCUAGACCGUGCUCAAAACUAUUUUGAGACACACAGCUGUGCCUUAGGCUGUGUGAAAUUUUCACUUUAGACAACGACACACAGCCGUGUGCCAGACCAUGUACACCAAAAUGUACCUUAAAAAUCAAAUUUACCAAAACAUGUUUACUUAGGCAUCAAGCAACCUAAUUACCAUCAAUCAAACUCAUUCAAAACACAAUUAAACAGGUUCAAAACAUCCAUCCUAAGUGCCUAGCCAUUGUGCCCUCAUUGACAUCAUAAUUCAAUAAUCAAAUCAAUCACAUUUAAACCAAGAUUUAAACAUUCAAAUUAUAAAAUCAUCAUUAACCAUUCAUACCAAAACACUGAUCAUUUCAAGUCAUAAACACCUAGCAAUAUUCACAUACUUUAUAAAGCUUAACUACCAAUACCAAAUAAGAUCCAUACACACAUACAUACCAAACAAAACACAUAUUCACAAGUAUCAUUCAAGAUUUACAACUUUACAUGUAAUUAACAUAAUUUCAAGUCAAUUAUUACAUGUCAUACAACCCAAAACAAACACUAAACAAACUACCAAUAGUUUCUCGAAUAGUGUGAUUCUUGAAAUCAAAUUGAUCACCCGAAGCGUCAAAAAUAAAUCUACAAGAAAGCAUUGGAAGAGACACAAGAGUAAGCUUACUUAAGCUUAGUAAUUUCCAUGGAUUUAAACAAUCAACUUACCGGAUAAACUUAUCUAAUAUAGAGUAUAGAAAAGUCAUAAAUCAUAAUCAUGUCAUCCAUAAUCAGAUCACGAGUGAGUCUUAAACUUAAAUAUGAAUGAAUUAAUUCAAUCAAUUACAUUAUAUCACUAAAUUAUACCCGAUGAACGUUGCAAUGGAUUUGGAUACACAGUUAACCAACCAAACACUCCAAAUCACUCAAAUGAGCUAGCCAUCUGAAAGUACACAUGGGCACCAAGUGCCAAGCCCAUAGGCUAACAUCCCUCCGAAACACACCUUGUCACCAAGUGCCAAGCCCGUAAGCUUUACAUCUGCCCCAGAAACACACCUGAAGCACUGCAAUAUAACGUAAUAGUUCGCAACAAAUGUUGAACUUCAAUAUAUUCAAUAAACAUGAAUAAGAUCAGAAUCAUCAUCUCCACAUCCACCAAUCUCGUAAAGCGCACGAUAUAACUUAUUGACAUGCCAAUUGUAUCCUAUCAUACAUUCAUCGGCUCACAUAUUUGUCAUUUAACAACAUUUAAUACAAUUUCUUUCCCAAAUCAUUUCACUUACCACAAUUCAAUACUUCCAUGUCAUUUAAUAAUUUCAAUCCACAAGUAAUUAAAUAUUUAAAUUAUACUAAAAUUAAACUGUACAAACUCACUAGGGCCAAAUUGCAGAAACAACAAAAGUUCAGGGACUAAUCAACAACCUUCCCUUUUUCCACAAUUAUCAACUUGAUCUUGAUCUAUAAUAUAAUUUAUUUCAAUUAUUAGCCUCAAUUUUCAUAUUCUAAUCAUUUCAAAACAUAUGAUCUCUUAUUUAUAAAUUUACACAUUUAUCCCAAAUUUUUACAUAUUAUACAAUUUAAUCCCUAUGACCAAAUCAAGCUUAGUUCUACAAUUAAAUUCUCAAUCCAUAGAACUAAAUUUUAACCACAUCCAAAACAAUCCAUAUAUGCUAAAAUUUUCAAGAGUAACAUGUCUAUUUCAGUUAAAUCACUAAACAUCAAAUUUUGUAAAAAUCACUUACAAACUCAAUACAUAUGGUCACCAAGCUUCAACCCAAACUAUUUACUACUACAAAUCUUCGAAAAUUUCAAUACAUAAUUUCUAUACUUUGAUAACUUCACAAAUAAACUCCAAAACUAGCUAAAUUCCAUUAUCAAUAGCUCAAAACUUAAAAUUUGAUGAUGAAUAAACCAAGAAAAUACUUACAUGCAUUAAAAACUAACAAAAACCAAGAUCCAAGCCUUAGAACAAUGGUGUUUCGGCCAAACCUAAGAAAAAUAAAGAAGAUGACCACUACCCCACUUUUGUUUUACUUUCCUUUUAUUAUUAUAAUAAUCUUUAUUUAUGAAAUUAUAACAUUAUAAAACACCAAUUUAAUUUUUUUUCUCUCUUUACCGCCCAUAUUAACUAACUAUGGGCUAAUGGCAACAUAACCUCCCUUAGUUUACUAAUUUAAGCUAUUAUAUUAAAAUAAAUCUAUAAUAAGCAACUUUUCCACCUAUUACAUAUUAAUCUUUUUUCUUUAAUCAAUUCACUAUACGUUAAAUUUUCUAAACCAAAACUUAAUACGACACUGAUGACUUUGUAAAUAUUAAAUAAUUAAUAAUUCUAGACUGACACGUCGAAAGUGUAGUCCUAAAACUAUUAUUUUCGACACCACUGGAAAUCGAACUGUUAUAGUAUGAUUCUACCUCUUAGGGGGAGACGUAUUCUAGUUUCCUUUGACUUGUUUAGAUGAUGUGUUAAUCAUUUGCUACUGGUUUUGUCAAAAUGCCAAAUGGUGAGAUUGUUUCAAACUUUGUUCAUGUUCGAACAUUAGAUUAAACAAUGCUUAAUUUGAUGCAUUCAAAGAAUUUAUGUUGGCAUGUUUGACUUUAUAAUGAAAUGGCUUAUGAUUUAAUCUCGUUGAGUAGCAAAUGGGGAAGUGAUUUUGUGUUAUAACAUGUGAUGAUCAUUAUCUUUCAAUCAACUACCUUGAAGAAGAAUGGGAGGAGUUUGAACUUUUGUGGACUUUCGUAAUAUUUGAAGCUGCUAAGAUACUUGUUUAUAAAGACUUUUAUGAUAUAACUAAUCAAAAUAAUUCAUGUCAGAAUUUUUGGAGUUUUAAACUUAUGAAGACUCUAGUAUUGGCCUAUAAAUAGGCAUAAUUACCGCACAUUGAAAAUAGGCUUUUGGAGGGUUUAAGUUGGAUGCUUUGGUGAAUUUUUCCUGUGUUUUAUACAACACUCUUUUUUAAGUUUUUAUUGGGGGAUAUUUGCUUGAUUGUAAGUGAGAUAUUUUGGAGAGAGUGAUUUGUAAUAAUUUAGGUUCAAUAUUGAAGUUGCAAAUAACUACAAGGUAAUGGUAAUUUGGACUCUAGUCAAUAGUUAAUCAAGACGAAUUGUAAAUAAAAAUUAUUUUUUAAGUGAAACUUUACAGAAUAAAACUAGUGAACUCAAACUACGCUAACAAAUAUUAUAUACUAUCUUUCCUUACUUUACUCGUUGCUUUACCUUAUUUUAAAAUUGCUUUGUCAUAAAUGUAUUAUGUUUGACCCUUUCCGAUCGAAAUAAAAAAAUGAGAUUGAAAUUGUGAUAAAGCUAAAAAAAAGUUACAACAAAUAUGAUUAAUAUUAUUUUUAUAUAUACUUACUAAAAUUUAAAAAGGAAUUACAUUUAUCGAAUAUUAUUUUAUUUAAUAAAUAUAAUUAAUAUAUUUUAUAUAAAAUUUAAACUUUUUAUUAUUUGUUAGCUAAAUUUUAUUAUUUUUAUUUUCUUUAUGAAUAAAAUUAAUUUUCCUAAAAUUUGAGAUAAAAAAAUGUUAUAUAGAAAAUUAAAUUAGUAAAAAGUGCAGUUCAUACUUUAUAAUUAUUAUAAAUGAAAAAAUAUUAUAAAAGAUAAAUAUUAAACAUAAAAAAAUCAAUUCUAAAAUAAACUUAACUAUUAUAAUAAAAUAUUUUUAUAUAAAAAAGAAAUUAUAGAAAAGACUUACUGAUUAUAUUUCCAAUUUUCGACAUUCAUAAAAAAAAAGUGGUCCUAAUAAUUUAUUUAUACAAAAAAAAAAGUGGUCCUAUUAAUUAACCUCACAUUUGAAAUGUGUUAUAUGUAAUAAUAUUAAUAUCUUUAUCAAUUUUGGAGGUUCAUCCUUUCCCAUCUCUAUAAAUUCGCAUGGAGAAAUAAAGCAAUACAUCAACACAAUCUGUAUAACCAUGAAAACCACAACAGCUUCAGUGUUUCUUCUUUUCAUCAUCUUCUCAGUCACACCAUCAUCCUUUUUGUUUGGUGUAGCCAACGCUACAAACGAACCUGUACUCGACUUUGAUGGCAACGAGGUUCAAACAGGCACCCCAUAUUACGUUGUGUCGUACAUAUGGGGUGCUGGUGGUGGGGGGCUUGACCUAGGCAGGCCUAGUGGAAACCCAUGCCCGGAAGUCGUUGCUCAAAGAGGAUCCGGUGACAAUGGUAUUCCGGUGAUAUUUUCUAAUUCGGACUCCAACGAUGGCGUUGUUCGCCUAUCCUCUGACAUAAACAUAGAGUUCAUUUCCCUCAGACCCAAACUUUGCCGAACAACAACAGUGUGGAAGGUCGAUGAUUACGACCAUUCAGCCGGAAAAUGGUGGGUGAUAACCGAUGGGGUUAAAGGGAACCCAGGUGCCAACACUUUGACCAGUUGGUUUAGAAUAGAGAAGGUGGGUACUGAUUUUCAAUAUUACACAUUUAAGUACUGCCCCGCAGUAUGUGGAACAUGCCCAGCCUUAUGCAACCAAAUUGUGAGAGACUUUGAUGGAGAAAUGGUACGUUUGGCUCUCACCACUGGCCAUGGAUGGCCAUUUAUCUUUAAGAAAGUUGGAAAAUCAGCCAUGGAGAUUGAACAAGUUGUUCAUAAUUAGAUUGAAAGCAAUCAUUAUGCAUGAACUAGUAGUUACUACAUAAUAUUAGCUUCAAGUAAAUAAUGCUGAGGGAACUUAUUGUUAAGAUUGCCUUGUUUGAAGCGGCAGCAUGUAUAUAUAUAUGCUUGCUUACAAGGUUUGUCUCUCAGAGUCCUCCUCUUUGUACUCUUUUCAGCUUAAUGAAUAAACUGUUUACUUAUUUACUUCUUUUGUUGCCAUUGAUUCUAGUAGCAUUCGACUCAUUAACUUGGAUACAUUACCUUGUAAUUAACCAAAAAGUUAUGUGUAUAUAUAUAAAGAGUGUGUGAGAGAAAAAAUAGAAUACCAAGUACCAAGUGAAAAAUGUUAAUACUAGGAUUAUUCAAAGCGAUUUCAAUGAACAGAAAUGGAAUAGUCGUCGGGUGGUUAGGGCAUUUUAUCUUUAGAGAUAAAGAAGGUUGGUUCAUGUUCGGAGUUUGUGGCUACUCCUUCAAUAAUAUCGUUUUUAAAGUUUAAACUUGUAUCACAUUUUAAACACGUAAUGUAUCUUACCAUUACAUCCAACAAUAUUAACCAUUUACUCUAUUGUAUUGUAUUGUAUUCUAUUAUUAAUUAAUGAUUAUGAUAUGUAUUAAGUUUAAGAUGAAUUUUCUCAGUAAUAUAUAUCAAUGGAAUCAAAUAUUUGUAUUUAAAGUUUUAACUCCACAUUAACUUUUUCUUUAUUUUGUCCGUUUGCUGGCGAUGAUUAGGAGAUUAAUGGUUGGUAUUUGUGGUUAGUAGGUUAUAACUCAAUAGUGAACUCGAGGGUUGAUAGUGGCCCGACUCCACUUAAAUAAAAAAUUUUACAUUUAAAUCUCUUUAUAAUUUAUAAAAUUUUAAAUUAAUAAUAAAAAAAUUAUAUUUUAACUCUCUAAAAUUAAUAAAAAUGAUAAAAAUGUAGAAGUAAAUUUAUACAAUUAAUGAUAAUAAUGAUAAGAAGUUGUUUCCUGUCACAUGGAAAUUUAUGGCAUCGUCCAUUUGGUUUUAUAUUUGUCCAUUUGCUUGGUUAAGAGUUGAAAGACAAACUAUAAUUAAGUAUACAAAACCAAACGAAUUUCAAGGGUUUUCUCUUCAAUUAUUGUCGAAUUUAGCUAAUUAUUAGUAAUUUUUAUUAUUUAAUUAUAAAAAUUAUAAAAUAAUGACUUAAUUAUAAGAAUUAUAAAAUAGUGACUUAAUUAUAAAAAUAUAUAUAAAUAGCCAUCUAAUUAUUUAAUUUUUUUUCUUUUUUAUCAUCACCGGAUUAAUGGUGGUAAUUUUUAUAAUUGACAUAAUAGUAACUUUAACCAUUAAUAAUUAUACAUUAUGUCAAUUUAGUCUUGAUUCUAAAAAAUUUAACCUUUGACAUUUACACAUAUAUAAUUUGACAUUUUUAUAAUUUUAUUUUUUACUAAAAAUAAAUCAUGAAAAUAAUAAAAUAUGCAUAAAAAUAAAAAUACAGCUACCGAGUAUAUGUCUUAAUGUAGAUUUAUAACAAUUAUCUUUUCAUAAAGAUAUUUUAUUAUAAAAUAUAUAAUAAGCACUUCCCUGUAACAAAUAAAAUUGUAGUAAACAAAUGAAAUUAUUAUAAAGAAGAAUUUUCUAUUUUCAUAAUAAUAAUAAUAAUAAUAAUAAUAAAAGAAAAGAAAAAAGUGGUUCUAUUAAUUCACCUCACAUUUGAAAUGUGUUAUAUGUAAUAAUAUUAAUGUCUUUAUCAAUUUUGGUGGUUCAUCCUUUCCCAUCUCUAUAAACACUACACCAGAAUAGGUUUUUAGCGGCGUUUUUUAGGCCUUUAGCGACGCUUAUUAACGCCACUAAAUCUAUUUCCGGCACUUACAAAAAAAAGCCGCUAAAGAUCAUGUUCUUUAGCGGCGCUUAGGAAAAAACGCCGCAAAAAAUCAUGUUCUUUAGCGGCGCUUAGAAAAAAACGCCGCUAAAGAUCAUGUUCUUUAACGGCGCUUAGAAAAAAACGCCGCUAAAGAUCAUGUUCUUUAGCGGCGCUUUGGAAGAAAACACCUCUAAAAGUAAUGUUCUAUAGCGGCGCUUGUUCAAAAACGCCGCUAAAAGUAGUGUUCUUUAGCGUCGCUUGUUUCACAAACGCCACUGUUUUGAUAUGACUUUUAGCGGCGCUUUUUUAAAAAAUGUCACUAAUUUUGGGAUUUUUUUAAAAUAAAAUUUUCUGUUUUUUUCAGCCCUCCUGCAACAACAAAUCAAAAGCAACCAGAUCUAAACUAACCAAAAAUAAUAAAUUUAUAUAAUAUUUCAAAUUAAAUGAAUAAAAUAAUAUUAAUUGAUAUAAAUAAAAGUGAAUUUCAGACUUUUCUUUACAAAAACGUUAAAAGUAUUUAUGCAACAUACACUAUGACGGCGGAAGUUGCGACUGCUGAAACAUCUUCAUCAUAAUCUAAAGCUGCUGUUGAAGUUCGUCGUACUUUUUGCUCUACUUUGCUUCUCUCGAUGCCGCAUCUUUUUGAAGCCGUAGCUGUAGUUCUUCACAUUUCUUUUGAACCUCUGCUUCUAUCGCUGCUUAUCUCGCUACGGCAUCUGCUUCCCUCACUGCUGCCUCUGAUUUAAGUUGUUGCUGAAGUUCUUCAUAUUUCCUUUGAACCUCAAAUGUGGUCGCUUGCAUCUGAGUCAUCUAGUCUUUUAACCUCUGAACUUCAGCUUGAGACUGACUCCCCGAAGCCAUGUAUUGGUGCGAGCUGGAUCCAAAAUAUUGGGUUGGGCUGAUAAAAGAUCCUUGAAAUCGAACCCGACCAUACUUUUCAGGACCCAAAACUUUAGUAAUAAUCCGGUUAUCAAUGUCUUCAAGAUGAAUAGAACUAUCACUAGAAGCAAUCGUUUCGUACUCUGUCUUUUUUUCCUUCAGUUUUUCCUAAUAAAUAAAUCACAUAGUUAGGAACGCAAUAUAUAGUAAAAAAAACAAAUGCAAUAUAACAAUAGUCGCAUUACAAGCAAUGAAUUAAACCAUUAGAAAAUAAACACUAUAAAUAACUAAAACAAGUGAAAUCGUAUUAAGUAAACGUACCAUAAUUUCACCAGCUUCAGGAGUCAUAGCAGAUCCAUCUUUCUUCUUAUGUGUAAUUUCAAAAAGUUGAAGGCGUCCAACUUUUUGAUCGGACGACCGUUCCUACAACACUCUUUUUUAAGUUUUUAUUGGGGGAUAUUUGCUUGAUGUAAGUGAGAUAUUUUGGAGAGAGUGAUUUGUAAUAAUUUAGGUUCAAUAUUGAAGUUGCAAAUAACUAUAAGGUAAUGGUAAUUUAGACUUUAGUCAAUAGUUAAUCAAGACGAAUUGUAAAUAAAAAUUAUUUUUUAAGCGAAACUCUACAGAAUAAAACUAGUGAACUCAAACUACUGAACUCAAACUACGCUAACAAAUAUUACAUAUUAUCUUUCCUUACUUUACUUGUUGCUUUACCUUAUUUUAAAAUUGUUUUGUCAUAAAUGUAUUAUGUUUGAACCUUUCCGAUCGAAAUAAAAAAAAUGAGAUUGAAAUUGUGAUAAAGCUAAAAAAAGGUUACAACAAAUAUGAUUAAUAUUAUUUUUAUAUAUACUUAAUAAAAGUUAAAAAGGGAAUUACAUUUAUUGAAUAUUAUUUUAUUUAAUAAAAUAUAAUUACUAUAUUUUAUAUAAAAUUUAAAUAUUUUAUUGUUUGUUAGUUAAAUUUUAUUUUUUUUUAUUUUCUUUAUGAAUAAAAUUAAUUUUCCUAAAAUUUGAGAUAAAAAAUGUUAUAUAGAAAAUUAAAUUAGUAAAAAGUUAAAAAAAUCAAUUCUAAAAUAAACUUAACUAUUAUAAUAAAAUAUUUUUAUAUAAAAAAAAAGAAAUUAUAGAAAAGACUUAUUGAAUAUAUUUCCUAUUUUCGACAUUCAUAAAAAAAAAAAAGUGGUCCUAAUAAUUUUUUUAUACAAAACAAAAAAAAGUGGUCCUAUUAAUUUACCUCACAUUUGAAAUGUGUUAUAUGUAAUAAUAUUAAUAUCUUUAUCAAUUUUGGAGGUUCAUCCUUUCCCAUCUCUAUAAAUUUGCAUGCAGAACUAAAGCAACACAUAUCAACACAAUCUGUAUAACCAUGAAAACCACAACAGCUUCGGUGUUUCUUCUUUUCAUCAUCUUCUCAAUCACACCAUUGUCCUUUUCGUUUGGUGUGGCCAACACUUCAAACGCUCCUGUGCUCGACAGUGAUGGCAACGAGCUCCGCACAGGCACCCCAUACUUCGUUGUGUCGUCGAUAUGGGGUGCUGGUGGUGGGGGGCUUGCCCUAGGCAUGCCUAGAGGAAAGCCAUGCCCGGAAGUCGUUGCUCAAAGAGGAUCUGGUGACGAUGGUAUUCCGGUGAUAUUUUCUAAUUCGGACUCCAACGAUGGCGUUGUUCGCCUAUCCUCUGACAUAAACAUAGAGUUCAUUCCCCUCAGACCCAGAUUUUGCCAAACAACAACGGUGUGGAAGGUCGAUGAUUACGACCACUCAGCCGGAAAAUGGUGGGUGAUAACCGAUGGGGUUAAAGGGAACCCAGGUGCCAACACUUUGACCAGUUGGUUUAGAAUAGAGAAGGCGAGUCAUCUUGAUUACACAUUUAAGUACUGCCCCGCAGUAUGUGGAACAUGCCCGGCUUUAUGCAACAAAAUUGCGAGAGACUUAGAUGGAGAAAUGAUGCGUUUGGCUCUCUCCACUGACCAUGGAUGGCCAUUUUUCUUUAAGAAACUUCAAACAUCAGCCAUGGAGAUUGAACAAGUUGUUCAUAAUUAGAUUGAAAGCAAUCAUUAUGCAUGAACUAGUAGUUACUAUACAAUAUUAGCUUCAAGUAAAUAAUGCUGAGAGAACUGAUUGUUAAGAUUGCCUUGUUUGAAGCAGAAGCAUGCAUAUAUAUAUGCUUGCCUACAAGGUUUGUCUCUCAGAAUCCUCUUUGUACUCUUUUCAGCUUAAUAUAUAAACUGUCUACUUAUUUACUUCUUUUAUUAAUGUCAUUGAUUCUAGUAGUAUUAGACUCAUUAACUUGGAUACAUUGUCUUGUAAUUAACCCAAAAAUUAUAUAUAUAUCAAAAAAAAAAAUGAGAGUGAGAGAGGAAAAUAGACUACCAAGUAACAAGUGAAAAAUGGUAAUACUAGGGUUAUUUAGAGUGGUUUCAAUGCACAACCGGAAUGAAUUGUUACCUUAUCUUUAGAGUCAAAGAAGGGUUCGUGACUAGUCUUUCAACAAUACUAUUUUCAAGGUUCAAACCUGCAUUAUCCUUUAAAUACGUAAUGUAUUUUAUCAUUACGCUCAAUAUUAUUAGUGAUUUACUUUAUUCUAUUCUUAAUUAAUAAUUAUGAUAUAUAUAAAGUUUAAGAUGGAUUUUCUUAUUUAUGUAUAUCAAUUAAAUCAAAUAUUUGUAUUUAAAGUUUUAACCCAACAUUAACUUUUUUUUUAAAAAUUUCUUCGUUUGUUGGUGGUGAUUAGGAGAUUGAUGGCCGGUCUUUGUGAUUGGUAGCUUUUAACACAAUGGCGAAGCUAAGGAGGCUUUAAAUGUUUAAAUGAAUAUUUUUUUCAAUUGAAAUUUCUUUAUAAUUUAUAAAAUUUUAAAUUAAUAAUGAUAAAAUUACAUUUUAAUUUUUUAAAAAUGAUAAAAACGUGGAAGCACAUUUGUACGAUUAAUAAUAAUGAUAAUAUUUUUCCUACCACAUGGAAGUUUAUGGAAACACCAUUGGGUUUUGUAUUUAUGUUUUAUUCGACACUCUUAUAAGUUUUACUGGGGAGAUUUGUUUGAUUGUAAGUGAGGUAUUUUGCGGAGAGUGAUUUAUAAUAAUUUAAAAUUAAUAUUGGGGUUACAAAUAACUAUGGGAGUAAAGUAGUUUAGACUUUAGCUAAUAAUUGAUCAAGAUGGAUUGUAGAAUAAAAUCAUUUUCGAAGCAAAAUUUUAUAAAAUUAGUAAAUCUGAAUUAUUCUAUAAUAUUGAUAUUAUCUUUCUUCACUUUAGCCCUUGCUUCACCUUAUCUCAAAAUUAUUCUAUAAUAAUCUAUUUUGUCUCAACCUUUUCAACAGAAUUUAAAAUGAAACUAUUUCUAUGAAGUGCAAACCAAAAACUUUUUCACAUACCAAUAAAUGGCAAGCAACCAUACCGUGGGCCCAAUGUCCCAACAAUCAUCUAAACAUUUUUUUUUUCUUUUUUAAAUAAUAUGUAAUAAUUUAUAUACCAUAAAUGAAUAUUAAUUAAAAUAAUAUAAACAAAAUACGACUCUUUAAUAUAAUAUGGAUCCAAAAUGUUUCAUAUUUGAAAUGCAGUUUUUGAUAAUUUCACAUUUCAUAUUUUAUCUUAGAACAAAAAGAAAAUUUGAACUUAAUAUUUGGACUAUUGAUCAAUGGUGUUUAUUAUAUUUCAAGACUAUCAGAUUAAUCUGUCGAUACUACUUAUAUGGUAUGGUUUAAAUGGGUGUGUGUGGAUAUAGAAAUUUGAAAUUCUAUUGUAUCAAAGAAAUUUUUUUUAAAAAUAAAAUAAAAAGGAAUUUGAAAUUUAAAAUUUGAGAUCAAAAUAAAAAAAAUGAGACUUGUUAUAAACCAUAAGGCUCAAAAAAGGUUACAACAAAUAUGGUUAAUAUUAUUUUUAUAUAUACUUAAUAAAAGUUUAAAAUAUCAAAUUUGUAAUAUUAUUUUUAUUUAAUAAAAUAUAAUUAAUAUAUUUUAUAUAAAAUUUAAAUAUUUUAUUGAAAUAUUAUGUUAGGUAAAUUUUAUUAAUUUUAUUUUCUUUAUAAAUAAAAUUAAUUUUAUUAAAAUUUGAGAUAAGAUAAUUAAAUUAAUAAAAGGUAUACUUCAUAUUUUAUAGUUAUUAUAAAUAAAAAAUUAUUAUAAAAAUUAAAAAAAAAGAAUUCUACAACAUAAUGAAAUAUUUUUAUUAAAAAAAACAGAAAUGAUUGAUGGAAUAUAUUUCCAAUUUUCGACGUUCAUUAAAAAAAAAAGAGUGGUCCUAAUAAUUGAUUUAUUGGGGAAAAAAAAGUGGUCCUACUAAUUUACCUCACAUUUGAAAUGUGUUAUAUGUAAUAAUAUUAAUAUCUUUAUCAAUUUUGGAGGUUCAUCCUUUCCCAUCUCUAUAAAUUCGCAUCGAGAAAUAAAGCAAUACAUCAACGCAAUCUGUAUAACCAUGAAAACCACAACAGCUUCAGUGUUUCUUCUUUUCAUCAUCUUCUCAGUCACACCAUCAUCUUUUUUGUUUGGUGUAGCCAACGCUACAAACGAACCUGUACUCGACAUUGAUGGCAACGAGGUUCAAACAGGCACCCCAUAUUACGUUGUGUCGUCCAUAUGGGGUGCUGGUGGUGGGGGGCUUGCCCUAGGCAGGCCUAGCGGAAACCCAUGCCCGGAAGUCGUUGCUCAAAGACGAUCCGGUGACGAUGGUAUUCCGGUGAUAUUUUCUAAUUCGGACUCCAACGAUGGCGUUGUUCGCCUAUCCUCUGACAUAAACAUAGAGUUCAUUCCCCUCAGACCCAAACUUUGCCGAACAACAACGGUGUGGAAGGUCGAUGAUUACGACCAUUCAGCCGGAAAAUGGUGGGUGAUAACGGAUGGGGUUAAAGGGAACCCGGGUGCCAACACUUUGACCAGUUGGUUUAGGAUAGAGAAGGCGGGUGAUCUUGAUUACACAUUUAAGUACUGCCCUGCAGUAUGUGGAACAUGCCCAGCUUUAUGCAACAAAAUUACGAGAGACUCAGAUGGAGAAAUGGUACGUUUGGCUCUCUCCACUGGCAAUGGAUGGCCAUUUUACUUUAAGAAAGUUGGAAAAUCAGCCAUGGAGAUUCAACAAGUUGCUCGUAAUUAGAUUGAAAGCAAUCAUUAUGCAUGAACUAGUAGUUACUACAUAAUAUUAGCUUCAAGUAAAUAAUGCUGAGAGAACUUAUUGUUAAGAUUGCCUUGUUUGAAGCGGCAGCAUGUAUAUAUAUAUAUGCUUGCUUACAAGGUUAAUUUGUCUCUCAGAGUCCUCUUUGUACUCUUUUCAGCUUAAUGAAUAAACUGUUUACUUAUUUACUUCUUUUGUUGCCAUUGAUUCUAGUAGCAUUCGACUCAUUAACUUGGAUACAUUACCUUGUAAUUAACCAAAAAGUUAUGUAUAUAUAUAUAUAUAUCAAAACAAAACAAAAAAGAGAGUGAGAGAGGAAAAUAGACUACCAAGUACCAAGUGAAAAAUGGUAAUACUAAAUUUCCAGAUAUAUGGCAUUGUUUGUGUGUGACAAACACCAAGUAUAAAUAGGUGGAAGUAUGACUACUUAUCAAGAGUGGUAUGGUUCAAAAACUACCCCUAUCGAAUUAUUUCAUCCUACUCAUUCGUUAUCGAUAGGAAGAAGGAUACUUCCAACAAGAAAUAUUUUGAAGGGUUAGUGUUGAGUUAGCUAAAAAUCAAAGUUUAUCAGAAGCUCGAUCUAAAAUUCGCCAAAAGGAGGAUUAUUCAAAGCGAUUUCAAUAGACAACGGGAAUGGAAUAGUCUUUGAGUGGUUAGGGCACCUUAUCUUUUGAGAUAAAGAAGGGUUGGUCCAUGUUUGCAGUUCGUGACUAAUCCUUACAACAAUGUCGUUUUCAAGGAUUGAACAUGUGUCAUCCUUUGAACAUGUAAUGUGUCUUACAAUUACACCUAACAUUGUUGGUGAUUUACUUUAUUAUAUUCUUAAUUAAUAAUUAUGAUAUAUAGUAUGUUUAAGAUGCAUUUUCUUAUUCAUGUAUAUCAAUUGAAUCAAAUAUUUGUAUUUAAAAUUUUAACUCGACAUAUCGAAGGUCUGCUACUCUAGCACGUCUUUGGUCUGCUGCUCUAGCAUGUUUUGGUUUUUUUAGGGUUUUUUUGGCUUAUUUCUCUUUGUUCUAGCGAUGACAGUUCUUGGGAUAGAGUAUUUCUUUUCAAUCUGGUUGAUUUUGAUUCGUGGCAAUGGAGGAUGAAUUGGCAGAGUUAACAUUGGAAGAUGAGGAAUAGGAGAUUUUGCAAGUACAGAAGGAAACUGAUUCUGCGACAGUGGUUUAAGAUCUUUGUCUGGUUGGAUACUUUCUCACAACGAGUGUAAUCCACUUUAUGACAAUGAGAAGCGCGAUGGCAAAUCUAUGGCAUCCUCUUAGAGGAGUUCAGAUCUCUAAUUUGGGGGAUAAGAAAUUAUUUCAAUUUUUUCAUAAAAUGGAUAUUGAUAGGGUACUAAAUGGGGAUCCAUGGACUUUCAAUAAUCAUCUUUUGGUGAUUCAUUUUUUGGAGGAUGGUGAGGAUCCGAUGAAGGUACCGCUAAUCUAUACGACUUUUAAGGUGCAAGUGCAUGAUUUACCCCCAGGGUUUUUUACUGAAUCUAUAGCAAAGAAGUUAGGCAAUUUUAAGGGUAAGUUUUUUGGAUCAAUGGAAAAAGCUUGGGUAAGGGCCUCAGGAAUUUCUUACAUAUACGGGUUUAGAUGGAUGUUAGAUGCUAUUUGAAGCGAAAAAAGAAGAUUAUGUUUUCACUUGGCAAGUGUUCCUAUGUCAACUUGAUAUACGAAUGACUAACUCUAUUCUAUUUUGUCUAUGGUUGUUUGGUAGACAAUGACUCUUUCUGUCAAGUUAGAAUGGCUAAAGGCUUAGAAGUUGUAGAGAUGGGAUGGUAUCUGUCUCUAAAAGCCCAGUCUAGGAGAGCUACUACGAUGAACAGCGUGUGGCUGCGGGAGGAAGGUAAAGGUGAGAUAAAGGGAAAUACCAUAGGACAUUUUGAUUUAGGGUAGGGAUUGUGGAAGGAUGGAAGGAAAGAAUCUAGGAUGCCCAUAGAUCUGUGUUGGGGUUAAAUUUGGAGGGUGGUUUGAAGUUAGUGUCGGGUAUGCAAGGGAACUCUUCAACGAUACAAGAUCAUUCGAAUAUGGAUCACGACUCAGAGGAAUGCGCUAUAAAAGGUAAAGAUGGGAAAAAAAGACCCAAAAAGGAUAAUGGAAAUCAUAGUGUUUCGAUUGUGACAGAUUCACUUGUGAUUAGAGAUGAGAGAUUGUUGGGACGAACUCACUUUUUAUCGGCAGCUGCCAAGGGGCAAGAUGAUCAGUCACAAUAAAAAUAAUUAGUUGGAACAUCCGUUGAUUGGGGUGUCCACAGGCUAUAAGAAGGCUUUGACAUAUGUUGAAGGUGUAUAAUCCCCAAGUGGUCUUCUUUAUGGAGACAAAAAUUAGUAAUGUGCAAAUAGAGAAUGUGCAUAGAAGGUGUGGAUUUUUAAAUGGUAUUGAUGUUUCGGCCGAUGGUUCAAGAGGAGGUCAUUUUCUAGCUUGGAAGGAAAAUGUUAAAACGAAUCUAAUGAGUUAUUCUAGUAGUCAUGUAGAUGUUGUAUUUUAGAAGAUUGAUAAUGGAGGUUUGCUGGCUUUUAUGGGACAUCAAAUGCGUGUAGCAGAGACGAUUCAUGGAAUUUGUUAAGAAAUCUAGGACGCUCUCAAGCGUUCCCUUGGCUAGUGUGUGACAAUUUUAAUGAAAUUAUAUACUCUUUUGAAAAGGUUGGGGUGCCAAGAGAGGAGAAGAGAAUAGAGGUCUUUUGAGGAGUCUUAUAGGAAUGUUAGUUAAUGGACAUUGGAUACUUUAGGGCUAGGUUUACCUGGGAAAGGGGAAACUUACCGAAAACGAAUAUGAGAGAGCGACUGGAUAGAGGAGUGGCGAAUGCCGAAUGGAUGAACAUGUUUUCUAGUGCAGUGGUUUAGCAUUUACCACAUUCUUUUCCAGAUCAUUGUCCCCUUUUUAAUCAUACGGAGCAGGAGAGUAAUAGGUUGAGGCAGAAAAGGUUUCAGUCCGAGGCAUGGUGGGUGAUGUAAGAAUCUUUUGAGGAGGAGGUUAAACAAAUAUGUCAAUCUACUUCGGGUGAUAUGUUGGCUAAGCUAGAAGGUGUGAGGAAGGGCUUAGUGAGAUGGGCGGGUUUUGUUAGAAAUAAAAGAGAGGGCCUUAAAAGGAAUUUGACUAGAAAAUUGGAGGAGAUGAUGGGAAAGGAUAGAGAUGAUGAGAAUAUUGUUGAACUAUCUUAAAAUUCUCUUGUCAUAACUUGAAGUUUGUGUCAUUUAAUAUAAGAAUACAAUUAAUGCCUGCAAUAAUGUUGGCAGGUAUAAUUAUUGUUGUAUCAAACAAAACAAUCUCAUGUAUGACUUCAAAUAUAAAACAAAAUAAUAAUUAAUUCGAAUAAAGGUAAACCCUAAGAUACCAAUCACUCCAUUAAUAUUUCAUUUUUGAACAAAUAUAUUAAGUUGUAAAUGAUAUCUUGGUGUAGUAAUUAAACACCGACAAUAAGCGUCACAUGUUUAUUACAACAGUUGCAAAUGUAAUUUUGUUAAAUAUUAGCCUCCAUUUAGGCCAGUCAAUAUUAACAUAACUUAAGUUACAUACACACAACCCCAAAAUUAUAAAAGUCCUAUUGUUAAAUUGAUUUGGUUCCUUUGACAUAGGAAAGCCGAAUUGCAUAAACAAUCAAUGUAUCCCCUAUUUUAUUCAUGUUUAUCACAAUGUUUGAAGGAGUGCUCACUCUUUUAGGGCGUGUUUACCAUUGAGGUUGAAAAGUAUCAUUAAACCCAAACAAUUAUUUCAAACCAAACAUUAAUUUUAAACUAGGAUUUUAGGCCAACCCAAAACUUCUAGCUUUUACUUUUUGGAAAGGUGCUUUUCAAUUAAAAACCUUUUUAUUCCUCGUUAAACUUUCUACUUUAUAACAUAAUGUCUAAAAUGGAAAUUUUAUUUUUCUAAAAACACUUAUAGACAACAAUAAUAAUUACUAUUAAUUUUUUCAAAAUCACUUUUCUACGGCACUGUUAAACUUAAAUGAUAAUCUAGCCUUUUAACCACUCUUUUCUAACAGAGAGCUUAUCUCUUAGCAAUAGUUUGGGCAAACAAAAAUAAUGUAUAUAUGAAAACGAAUAUUGAAUUUGAAUGUACAAUCAAUUUUCUGAAUAAUUAAUUAAAAAGAAUGUUUGAAUUCAAAAAUUUUAAAAAUUUUGAUAAAAAAUGUGGAAGCGCAGACUUGUGUGAUGAAUAGUAAUGAUAAUAAUGAUAGAAGCUGUUUCCUGGCACGAGGAACUUAUGGAAUUCGUCCAUUUGGUUCUAUAUUAGCCCUGUUGCUUCCGUGUUUAAGAGUAAAACGACAAAAUAUUAAGUAGAAAACACCAAACGAAUUGAACUAUUUUCUUAAGAUGGUGUCGGUAAUGUAUCUGUGGAUACCCAUUUGAAUUUUUAAAAAACUGAAAAAAUUAAUUUAUUUUUUAGAUUGAAUCAGCAGCAGGAAAAUAAGAAAAAAUACAACUUUGAGUUUGAGUUUGGAACUCUGAGAUUUCGCUCGGUGAUCUGAAUGGUGAGGUGGUAUGUUUAAAUACGGAGAAUAAUAUAUAUUCGACUAGCAACAAUCUGAUGGAGUGAAAUAGGAACUGAAAAAAAGGGUAAUUUAAAGUUUUGGUCAUUGUUUUAAAAGAUUACCUUCAGUCAUUAUAUUUUUCAGUUUUGGAAUUCCAGUACUACUUAAAUUGUAAUUGUUAAAUCUAUUUACUAUAAUGAUAUAAAAUUUUUAUGAAUAUUAACACUAUUAUUUUUUUUAAAGCACUUAUUCAUGGCACAAGGAACUUAUGAUGAAUAGUAAUGAUAAUAAUGAUAGAAGUUGUUUUUCUGGCACAAGGAACUUAUGAUGAAUAGUAAUGAUAAUAAUGAUAGAAGUUGUUUUCCUGGCACAAGCAACUUAUGGGAUUCGUCCAUUUGGUUCUAUAUUUCUCCGCUUGCUUGAGCGUUUAAGAGUUAAAGGACAAAUUAUUAAGUAGAAAACACCAAACGAAUUGGAAGGCUUUUGUCUUCUUCAAUUGGUAUGACCUAUAUUUCUUAUUAAACUUCGUAUUUUACAUUCAAUAUCAUCAUCACAAUCAUUUUAAUUUAUUUUCAUGAAUAAACUUUUAUGUCUCAUUUUAAUUGAAUCAUUAAAAUUUAUUAAUUGAAUUUUUUUUUAAGAUGGUACCGUUAAUGUGUCAAGUGAUAUCAAUUUAAAUUUUUAAAAAAAGUUGUUUGAAUUAAUUUGAUUUCAUUCGGUAAUCCAAACAGUGAGAUAGUGUGUUUAACUACGGGGAAUAACAUAUAUCCAAAUGGUGACAAUCUGGUGGAGCGAAACAGAUAUCGAAGAAAGAGUAGUUUAAUGAAUUUGGAGUCGACUUCUGGAAAAUCUGAAUUAUAGAAGUGAACGAAGAGGAAAUCUCUUCUUUGGUGCCGUAAUCGACAUAAACGGCCAUUAUGAAUGGCAACAUCGAUAAUUAUUGAGUACAAUGAUUAAAAUUUUCAGUUAAAAAAAAGGAAUGGAAAGGAAAACAAAAAGAAAAACGUGGAAAGAAAGAAAGAAUAAUAAUAAUUAAUUAAUAAAUAAAAAGAGAAUUGUGGGGGCGAUGCUUUUGAACAAAUCUUGAUUUAAACUAUGUAAAGAAAAUAUGCGUUAUAUAUAUAAUUAAUUAUGCACUUAUACUUAAUAUAUUAUAUAUUUAAUGUCAUAUUUUCAUAUUCUCGGGAAGUGGUAAUAUACAAGUACUUGAUUUGAUUUAUUUCUUGAUCGCUUCGUGAAUUUUAUGUUUGUAACAAUAGGGACAGAAUUUCUUCAAUUCCAAUCGACUGGGCGUAUUGUGUCAAUUUUUUUUGAGUAAUAUACCUAGAAAUACCCGUUGAUUCCUUAUAAACGCCGUUUCAAACACAACUGGUACACCCCAAAAUAACCGUUACUCAGACAUCUUUACUAUUGACCAUGAACCUCCUUUGAGUUUUUAAUUCACCUAACUUUUCUAUUUUUCAAUCAAAAGCGAAGAAGAAAGGAAUGAAAAAAAGAAAGAAAUCAAAGUUGCUAACUCAAAACAAAUCCUGACAAUUUUGGUUGCAAUCAAUAUAGCAAGUCAAUAUAAAUUUAUAGUAAUAGCAAAUAAUAAGAAUAAGUAAUACAACGAUUUCUAACUCUAUUUAGAAUCAAAUCAGAGUAUGGUAUUUUCUUUAAUCAAUUAAUUGAAUUCAAAAUAUUCAAUUAAAAUAAAUUAAAUUGUAUAAAUUUUAUAAUUUUAAAUUAUUAUUUUUGUAUUAAUUUAAAACAAAAUAAAUAUUAUAUACAAUAAUUUAGUUGCAGCAUGUCAGCUUGAAGUCCAAGACCUUAUAACAUAUAAAUUUAAUAGAUAAUUAAUAACUAAAAAAUUAAAUAGCAAAAGCAUAAUUGCGCCACUUCUCACCAUUUUAGUGUAUGCAACUUAUUAUAUAUUUAUAUAUAUUAUCAUUUCAUUUUAAAUAAUUUAAUUUUUAUAUUAAUUUUUAUAAAUUUAGGGAUAAAUCUUAAAAUUAUACAUAAACUUUAAUUUAAUGUGUAAUUGCAUACAUAAACUUUAAUUUGGUACAAUUAUACACAUGAUACUCUAAUUGUGGUUCAAAUACAUACUUGAAACUUUAAUUUUGAUUUAAUCAUACACAUUUAAAUAAAUAAAUACAUCAAUUUAUUUUUAUAUUGGGUAAAUAUAUUUAUGUAUGCAAUAUAUAACAUAAAAUGAUGUUAUAUCAAUAAUUGUGUUAAUAAUUUUCAAGAAUUGGAUCAAAUCAAAAUUUCAUGUAUAAAAUUGCACAAAAUCAAAGUUCAUGUAUACAAUUGCACAUUAAACCAUAAUUCAUGUACAGUUUUAGUAUUUAUCCCAUAAUUUAUUAAAUAAACUUUUUACCUAUAUCAUAUAUAGAGUUGUCUGUGAACCGAGCCAAGGAAUGCCCGCUCGAAAAAAUGAGGGUUUAAGAAAAAAAAUAUGCCCAAAAAAAGGGCUUGGAUAAAAAGACAAGGCCCGUUUAGAAAAUGAAUCGGGCCUUUGCUAAGGUUUUUUUUGUCCAAGCUCAGCCCGACCCAAAUUUUCAAUAAAAAAACCCUACUGUUUUUACCGCUAUUUUUUCAUAUUUUGGUGUUGUUUUCUCACUUUUUGCCACUGGUUUACUAUCAUUUCACUAUUAUGUUACUACUAUUUUUUUUGUUAAUGUUUGGAUAUUGUAUAACACUUGUUUUAUUGUUAAUUUUGUCACUAUUUUAGAGGCAUUUGUUUGUUAUGUUGUACUUAUCUUAGUUUUUAUUUAAGUAUAAAAAAUUUUUAAAUUCUAUUUUCAAUUUAUUGGAAACAUGUAAUUUAAUAUUUGUAGUAUAUUUGGUGUAUUAUAAUAAUAUUUAUUAUUAAAAUAUUAAUAUUGAAUAUUUUCAAUAAUAUGUGAAGAAUAUUAUUUAAAAUUAUUUUUUAAAAUUUAUUAUUAAAUUAAAAUUGAAAUAUUAAAUAAUUUAUUAAAAUAAUUAAUUAUAUUAAUAAUUAAUUAUAUGACUAAAUAUAAAUAAUUAAAUAUGUAUGUUUAAUAAUAUUGAAAAAUAUAAUAUUUUAUAUUAAUAUUUUAAAUAUUUUUAAAAAUAAAAAUAAAAGUUAUUUUUAAUAUAAUAAUAUUAAGCUUGAUUUAAAUUAAUUUUUAUAUAAAAAUAAAAUUACCUAUAGAUGAGCUCAUUUUUUAGAAAAUGACUUACACUUUUCAAAAUGAUAAGUCAUUUUAUAGGAAAAAGAGCUAAUUUUACGUUGACCUAUAAGUCAUUUUCCGUUGACCAAACUGUUUUCUGUAAAACAAACAUAGAAAAAUGCAGAAAAUAGUUUCCGUAAAACUUUUUACAUGUAAACAAAUGGACCCUUAAUUCAAGCUUAUUCCAACAUAACCCACUUCACUAUUAGCAUGACUCUCCCUUAUACUAAAUUUAACCAUUAACCCUUCUCAUGAUUUCUAACAAAAAUUUUCAAGUUCUCUUUAAUGGCAACUUGUAUUAACUUCAACAAUAAGAAAUUCUAACUAUGGGGUUGGUUGUAUCAAGUUUCAUAGUUUAAAAAUCUAUAAAAAAAUUAUUGAGAAAAUAAUUUGUUUACCUUUGAUGGCCUUGAUGGAGAACAACUUGGUUUCUUCUUCUACUUAGUUUAAAGAAUGCAUGAAGAAGAAGAAGAUUUCCCCUCUCCCACUAUUUUAAAUAUAUAUAUAAAUAACCUAUUAAUCAAGGUAAUUAAGUCACUAAUUAACCUUAAUUAGUUAUGAUCUAAUGGCCAUAAACUUAUCAUGAGAAAAUUAGUGGAAAUGUGCGGCAUUGAUAAUGGUUUGCCAAUAAUCAAACUUUGGGCAUGGUAAUAUUGCAAUCAGGUUUUUGGUAUAAUUACACUUUUAAGUACUUGCUAAAUUCUGUAAUCAAUUCCCACUAGUUGGGUCACUUGAACAAUUGGGUCCAUGUACUAUAGUUACAACUUAUCCAAUUUAAUCAAUUAAUGAUUUGACUUUAUAAUUUCAUGUACAACACACAAACUCCUCUAGUAAAUUCUCGAGCUAGCUUUAUUUAAAAAUUUGGCCUCAAAAAUAGCUUUCCAAAUGUUCAUGAAAAUUGAGUCGUUACAUAUGGUAUUUGUUUUGUUCAGCUUAUUUGUCAGGCUCUAUAUCCUUUGAACUUAUGUUCGUUGACUUUGGUGUUGCUUAAAUGAAAAUGUGGUGAACAAUCUUAUGGAUAGGAGGAGUGUAUGAUUGAGUAUGUGUAACACCCUUAACCCACAUCCUUCGCCGAAUUAGAGUGACAGAGUGUUACUUGUAACACCCCAAACCCAGCCUAAACGUUAUGGUCGUAUCUGGCAAUGUCACACAAUAGUGUUUUUGAAACCUCGUUGUUACGUUGAAAACAUUUCAUGUUAUUAUCUUUAGUAAACAUUUGUUAGAACUUAGGAAGUCGUCUUUAUUCAUUUAAAACAUUUGUUUUGAAACAUCCCUCGUUGCGGAAGCUUUAAUAAAACAGUCUAAGUGAUCAUGCGUUUAGAAACUAUUUUAAUUUUUUGAAAACUGAAUUUCCUACGACCAACAGGUAUAAAUCCAUAAAGUAAAAUAAAUAAAUAAAAACCCAAAAUUUAAAACCAAAGUCCCAGAAGGUCCUUAAAUUACAACCCAAAUAAUCAAUAAUAAUUAAAUCAUAAAACGUAAAUUGAAAACCAUGAAGUCCAAAAAUUACUGUGGUCACCGCUGAGUCCUCCGUCGCACCGAUUCGUCUAAGUCUGGGGAUUACCUGUGCACGUUAAACAAAAAGGGUGAGUUUACGUAAAUUCAGUGUGUAGUCCCGCAGAAACAAAUAAACAAUCAGUAUUCACAGUGCACAGUUGAACAGUCUUGGGCCCAAGCCCAUCUCAGUACAAUGUCAAAAAUGCAGUAGCAGAAUCCUACCCAACCAACCUCCACACACUAUCUCCGCCCAACCCUACACUCCAUGUGGGGAUAUAAUCAACCCACCCAUCCCUACACUCCAAGUAGUACCGAAUGCGGCACAAAACAGUAGUUUGCAGCUGAGCUGCCAGUAAAUUAGGCUUAAAGCCUUUCAGUACACUUCCUCUGAAUAACAACCCCCAACCCGAUGCAAUGCAACAUACAAUAGAUGAUAUGCUAUUAUGCAAUUUCUGUACAUAUAUUUGGUUCAGAUAUUAACAUGCCCAGUAUAGAUAUCAUUCAGUCAAUUUCACACAUUUAGGGGUCUAAGUAGCGCUUACCGACCUUACAGUAGGUUCACAGUUGACUUGGGUGACCCGUACAACCUUAGAAACAUUCCGGUAAAAUUGGGCUACAUGCCCGUGUGUGCCCGUGUGGCCCACUCGGCCCAAUUUGGCCUUGGUCGUGUGAUCCAUUUUUAAUGUAACCCAUGCUAGCUAAAUAUUCAUAUAUGUUUUCACUAUUUACUUAUAUGUUCAUUUAAAGUUGUCUACUUGAGUCAUUGUCACUAAAUUAUUUAUACCUUGAGCUACAGAAUUCCAAAUUAAGAUCCGCUUGAUGUUUUCAAAACUAUACUCAAAUACCUUUCUACCAUAAAAUUUUCAAAUUUUAUAGUUUACCAAAUAAGUACAGUAAAAUCUUCAAAUUUAUCCCAAUUCUGCUAUUUGAUAGCUUCAACGUUUCCUUACUAAAAAUUAUUUAUCUCUUAGUACGGAAUUCGGAUGAUGUUUCCUUUGUUUCUCUUGAAAAUAGACUCGUUAAGGAUUUAAACAUAUAAAUUUAAGCCCCUAAUUAUUUUUUAAAAUUUUCGAUGAUUUUUCCAAAAUCAGAACAAGGAACCAAAACCCAUUCUAACAUUGUCUCACAAAAUUCAUUAUAUCUCAUAACUUAAAAUUUCAUUGCUUACACAGUUUCCUUCAUGAAAAACUAGACUCAAUAAAAUUUAAUAUCAUAUUUUAUUCAACCUCUAACUCAAUUUCCCCUAUUUUUGAUGAUUUUUCAAAGUUAGACUACUACUGCUGUCCAAAACUAUUUUAAUGCAGAAUGUUGAUUUCCAAGUUUAAAACACCCUUAUUUCCUUUCUCUACAAUUUUUUGCAUCAUUUUCUCUUAUUUCUCGUAUUUCUCGAUAGCAAGCAAUUUCAGCUUUUCGUUGAAUCCCAUUUUCUGCAUUUUGGGUACACACCUGGUAUCGUUUCUGAUGCGUAAGCACUCUUAAGCCUCCAGAACCUAAAAAUCGACCAAUAAAUCUCCAAAUUAAUCACUUAAUUCAUUUUUAAUCAACCAAUUUUGGAAGGAACUCGACUAAAAAAACCUAACAAAACCCUUACCUUGCUUCAGUAACCACGACUUCGCACAAUCAUAGUGUCGAUUCAAAACCACCAACCCCUUGAUUAACUCAUAAACACCAAAAAAGAAACCCCUUUUCAGAGAUUAACCAAGAACGAUUAACAAUAGAAAAAACUGUUACUUACCGAACACACGCAACCAACGAUGAACAACCAAAUCAAUUGGAAAAUAAUGAAAGAAAAGGAAGAGAAAAAAAUAAUGGAAAUUUCGGCAGCAACUAGGGGAAAGAAUCGGUAGAGGAGAGAAAAAAGAAGAAAAAAUCAGAAAAAGUUUGGGUAAUUGGAGAGAAAACCAAAACUCUACUUUUUUUUCUACAACAAAAAGAUAAUCAGAUUAUUUUCUGAUAACCUCUCCCCCAUUAUCUCCUAAAAUCACUCCUUAUUAACCCACUAAAACACAACUACUCAGAAUUUUACCCCAACACAACUCUUAGCCAAAAUUGGAGCAAAAAUACUGUCUCUACGCCAUCAUAGAGAAUUGAACAUAAGACCUCCUUCACACCAACACUCCAUUUAUCCACCAGACCAGCAAGCCCAUUCUGUUAAUUAUUUGUCAUCUUUUACUUAAAAGCCUACUGACCAAAGAUAGGGCUUAUUCAUAAAAAUACCAAAAUUUUCCCAAAACCUGGCUUGAACUUGGGACCUCUCACACACCCAAAACACUUAACCACUAAAGCAGAUACACAAUUGUGUCACACCUUCGUAAGAACAAAAAUAAAAAUUUUGGGACGUUACGUUACUAUACAAAAUAGAACAUUUCAUGACAACACAUAAAUAAUUAUGCAAAUUAUCACAAUCAUUAAUUAACCAUAUUAAAAUAUAACAUAAAUAUCCAUACGACCUUUAAAUCGAGCUUAUAUGUCCCUAAAAAUAGCUUGAGAUCAAUCUAGGAUCAAUUUUGAACAAAAACAUAAAUUUUAAAAAAACCCUAAAAAUUUUGGAAAACAUGGGUCACACAGCCGUGUGUCCAGGCCAUGUGACAUAGCCCAGACCUUGUGGGCAUUCAAAAUCAGGUAACGCAGUCAUGUCCCAGCCCGUAUGUCUACUUGUGUGAAUAUUCGAAAUAGGGUCUCACGGUCGUGUCGAGGAUCGUAUGCUAAACCGUGUGUAUAUUCAAAUUAUGGACACACGGCCGUGUCGCAGGCCAUGUGCUAGACCUUGCUCAAAACUAUUUUGAGACACACAGCUGUGUCUUAGACUGUGUGAAAUUUUCACUUUAAACAACAACACACAGCCGUAUCCUAAGCCGUGUGCACCAAAAUGUACCUUAAAAAUCAAAUUUACCAAAACAUGUUUACUUAGGCAUCAAGCAACCUAAUUACCAUCAAUUAAACUCAUUCAAAACACGAUUAAACAUGUUCAAAAUAUCCAUCCUAAGUUCCUAACCAUUGUGCCCUCAUUGACACCAUAAUUCAAUAAUCAAAUCAAUCACAUUUAAACCAAGAUUUAAACAUUCAAAUUAUAAAAUCACCAUUAACCAUUCAUACCAAAACACUACUCAUUUCAAGUCAUAAACACCUAGCAAUAUUCACAUACUUUAUAAAGCUUAACUACCAAUACCAAAUAAGAUCCAUACACACAUACAUACCAAACAAAACACAUAUUCACAAGUAUCAUUCAAGGUUUACAACUUUACAUGUAAUUAACAUGAUUUCAAGUCACUUAUUACAUGUCAUAUAACCCAAAACAAACAUUAAACAAACUACCAAUAGUUUCUCGAAUAGUUGAUUCUUGAUCUUGAUCUAUAAUAUAAUUUAUUUCAAUUAUUAGCCUCAAUUUUCAUAUUCUAAUCAUUUCAAUACAUAUGAUCUCUUGUUUACAAAUUUACAUAAUUACCCUAAAUUUUUACACAUUAUUCAAUUUAAUCCCUAUGACCAAAUCAAGCUUAGUUCUACAAUUAAAUUCUCAAUCCAUAGAACUAAAUUUUAACCACAUCCAAAACAAUUCAUAUAUGCUAAAAUUUUCAAGAGUAACAUGUCUAUUUCAAUUAAAUCACUAAACAUCAAAAUUUGUAAAAAUCACUUUACAAACUCAAUACAUAUCAUCACCAAGCUUCAACCCAAACUAUUUAAUAUUACAAAUCUUCAAAAUUUUCAAUACAUAAUUUCUAUACUUUGAUAACUUCACAAAUAAACUCCAAAACUAGCUAAAUUCCAUUAUCAAUAGCUCAAAACUUAAAUUUUAUGAUAAAUAAACCAAGAAAAUACUUACAUGCAUUAAAAACUAUCAAAAACCAAGCUCCCAAGCCUUAGAACAAAGGUGUUUCGGCCAAACCUAAGAAAAAUAAAGAAGAUGACCACUACCCCACUUUUGUUUUACUUUCUUUUUAUUAUUAUUAUAAUGUUUAUUUAUGAAAUUAUAACAUUAUCAAACACCAAUUUGAUAUUGUUUUUCUCUCUUUACCGCCCAUAUUAACUAACUAUGGGCUAAUGGCAACAUAACCCCCCUUAGUUUACUAAUUUAAGCUGUUAUAUUAAAAUAAAUCAAUAAUAAGCAACUUUUCCACCUAUUACAAAUUAAUCCUUUUUCUUUAAUCAAUUCACUAUACGUUAAAUUUUCUAAACCAAAACUUAAUAUAACACUGAUGACUUUGUAAAUAUUAAAUAAUUAAUAAUUUUAGAUUGACACGUCGAAAUUGUGGUCCUAAAAUCAUUAUUUUCAACACCACUAGAAAUCGGACUGUUAUAGUAUGGUUCUACCUCUUAGGGGGAGAUGUAUUCUAGUUUCCUUUCACUUGUUUAGAUGAUGUGUUAAUCAUUUGCUAUUGGUUUUGUCAAAAUGCCAAAUGGUGAGAUUGUUUGAACUUUGACUUCUUUUCUUAUUUCACUUCAUGUUCGAAGAGUAGAUUAAACCAUGCUUUGAUGCAUUCAAAGAAUUUAUGUUGGUAUAUUUGAUUUUAUAAUGAAAUGGCUUAUAGUUUAAUCUCGUUGAGUAGCAAAUGGGGAAGUGAUUUUGUAUUAUAACAUGUGAUGAUCAUUAUCUUUCAAUCAACUACCUUGGAAAAGAACGAGAGGAGUUUGAACUUUUGGGGACUUUCGUAAUAUUUGAAGCUGCUGAGAUAUUUGUUUAUAAAGACUUUUAUUUAUCAUUAAUCAAAAUAAUUCAUGAGAUAAUUUCAACCUUUAUAUUGGAGUUCUAAACUUAUGAAGACUCUAUUAUUGGCCUAUAAAUAGGCAUAAUUACCGCACAUUGAAAAUAGGCUUUUGGAGGGUUUGGAUACUUUGGUGAAUUUUUCAUUGGGCUAUAAAUAGGCAUAAUUACCGCACAUUGAAAAUAGGCUUUUGGAGGGUUUAAGUUGGAUACUUCAGUAAAUUUUUCUUGUGUUUUAUACCACACUCUUUUUAAGUUUUAUUGGAGAUAUUUAUUUGAUUGUAAGUGAGGUAUUUUGGAGAGAAUGAUUUAUAAUAAUUUAGGUUCAAUAUUAAAGUUGCAAAUAAUUACGGGUAAAAGUAAUUUGGACUGUAGUCAAUAGUUGAUCAAGACGAAUUGUAAAUUAAAAUUAUUUUCUAAGUAAAAUUCUACAAAAUAAAACUGGUAAAUUCAAACUGCGUUAAUAAAUAUUACAUAUUAUCUUUCCUUACUUUACUCGUUGCUUUACCUUAUUUUAAAAUUGUUUUGUUAUAAUCUAUUAUGUUUGAACCUUUUCGAUCGAAAUAAAAAAAAUGAGAUUGAAAUUGUGAUAAAGCUAAAAAAAGGUUACAACAAAUAUGAUUAAUAUUAUUUUUUAUAUAUACUUAAUAAAAGUUAAAAAGGGAAUUCCAUUUAUUGAAUAUUAUUUUAUUUAAUAAAAUAUAUUUUAUAUAUUUUAUAUAAAAUUUAAACAUUUUAUUGUUUGUUAGUUAAAUUUUAUUAUUUUUAUUUUCUUUAUGAAUAAAAAUAAUUUUCCUAAAAUAUGAGAUAAAAAAUGUUAUAGAGAAUUAAAUUAAUAAAAAGUACAGUUCAUACUUUAUAAUUAUUAUAAAUGAAAAAAUAUUAUGAAAAAAUAUUAAACAUAAAAAAUUAAUUCUAAAAUAAACUUAACUAUAAUAAAAUAAUUUUAUAUAAAAAAAGAAAUUAUAGAAAAGACUUAUUGAAUAUAUUUCCAAUUUUCGACAUUCAUAAAACAAAAAAUAAAAAAAGUGGUUCUAAUAAUUUAUUUAUACAAAAAAAAAAAAGUGGUCCUGACGUUCAUCCUUUCCCAUCUCUAUAAAUUUGCAUGCAGAACUAAAGCAACACAUAUCAACACAAUCUGUAUAACCAUGAAAACCACAACAGCUUCGGUGUUUCUUCUUUUCAUCAUCUUCUCAAUCACACCAUCGUCCUUUUCGUUUGGUGUGGCCAACUCUACAAACGCUCCUGUGCUCGACAGUGAUGGCAACGAGCUCCGCACGGGCACCCCAUACUUCGUUGUGUCGUCGAUAUGGGGUGCUGGUGGUGGGGGGCUUGCCCUAGGCAUGCCUAGCGGAAACCCAUGCCCGGAAGUCGUUGCUCAAAGAGGAUCCGGUGACGAUGGUAUUCCGGUGAUAUUUUCUAAUUCGGACUCCAACGAUGGCGUUGUUCGCCUAUCCUCUGACAUAAACAUAGAGUUCAUUCCCCUCAGACCCAAACUUUGCCGAACAACAACGGUGUGGAAGGUCGAUGAUUACGACCACUCAGCCGGAAAAUGGUGGGUGAUAACCGAUGGGGUUAAAGGGAACCCGGGUGCCAACACUUUGACCAGUUGGUUUAGAAUAGAGAAGUUGGGUGAUCUUGAUUACACAUUUAAGUACUGCCCCGCAGUAUGUGGAACAUGCCCAGCUUUAUGCAACGAAAUUGUGAGAGACUCAGAUGGAGAAAUGAUACGUUUGGCUCUCUCCAAUGGCCAUGGAUGGCAAUUUUACUUUAAGAAAGUUGAAACAUCAGCCAUGGAGAUUCAACAAGUUCAUAAUUAGAUUGAAAGCAAUCAUUAUGCAUGAACUAGUAGUUACUAUACAUUAUUACCUUCAAGUAAAUAAUGCCGAGAGAACUGAUUGUUAAUUAAGAUUGCCUUGUUUGAAGCAGCAGCAUGAAUAUAUAUAUAUGCUUGCUUACAAGGUUUGUCUCUCAGAGUCCUUCUCUUUGUACUCUUUCCAGCUUAAUGUAUAAACUGUCUACUUAUUUACUUCUUUUAUCGCCAUUGAUUCUAGUAGUAUUAGACUCAUUAACUUGGAUACAUUGUCUUGUAAUUAACCCAAAAAUUAUAUAUAUAUAAAAAAAGAGUGAGAGAGGAAAAUAGACUACCAAGUAACAAGCGAAAAACGGUAAUACUAGGGUUAUUUAGAGUGGUUUCAAUGCACAACGGGAAUGAAUUGUCGUUGGUUGGGUGGUUAGGGCACCUUACUUAUCUUUAGAGCUAAAGAAGGUUUCGUAACUACUCUUUCAAUAAUAUUAUUUUUAAGGUUCGAACCUGCAUUAUCCUUUGAACACGUAAUAUGUUUUAUCAUUACGCUCAACAUUAUUAAUGAUUUACUUUAUUCUAUUCUUAAUUAAUAAUUAUGAUAUAUAUUAAGUUUAAGAUGAAUUUUCUUAUUCAUGUAUAUCAAUUAAAUCAAAUAUUUGUAUUUAAAGUUUUAACCCAACAUUAACUUCUUCUUUUUUUUAUUUCUUUCUUUGUUGGUGAUGAUUAGGAGAUUGAUGGCCGGUCUUUGUGGUUGGUAGCUUUUAACACAAUGGCAAAGCCAAGGAGGCUUUAAAUGUUUAAAUGGAUUUUUUUUUCAUUUAAACUUCUUUAUAAUUUAUAAAAUUUUAAAUUAAUAAUGAUAAAAUUACAUUUUAAUCUUUUAAAAAUAAUAAAAAUGUGGAAGCACAUUUGUACGAUUAAUAAUAAUGAUAAGAUUUUUCCCACCACAUGGAAAUUUAUGGAAACGUCAUUGGGUUUUGUAUUUAUGUUUUAUUUGACACUCUUUUAAGUUUUAUUGGGAAGAUUUGCUUGAUUGUAAGUGAGGUAUUUUGGAGAGAAUGAUUUGUAACAAUUUAGAUUCAAUAUUCGAGUUGCAAAUAAAUAUAGAGUAAAGUAAUUUGGGCUUAGUGAAUUAUAGAAUAAAAUCAUAUUCUAAACAAAAUUUUAUAAAAUAAAAUUAAUGAAUCCUAACUAAGUUAACAAAUAUUUCUUCACUCUAGGCAUUGCUUCACCUUAUCUCAAAAUUGUUCUGUAAUAAUCUAUUUUGUCUCGACCUUUCCAACAGAAUUUAAAAUGAAACUAUUUCUGAUAAGUGCAGGCCAAAAACUUUUUCGCGUACCAAUAAAUGGCAAGCGACCAUACUGUGGGCCCAAUGUCCCAACAAUCAUCUAAACAUUUUUUUUAAUAAUAUGUAAUAAUUUAUAUACCAUAUAUGAAUAUUAAUUAAAAUAAUAUAAUAUGGACCCAAAUUGUUUCAUAUUUGAAAUCCAAUUUUUGAUAAUUUCACAUUUCAUAUUUUAUCUUAGAACAAAAAAAAUAUAUUUGAACUUAAUAUUUGGCCUAUUAAUCAAUGGUGUUUACUAUAUUUUAAGACUAUCGAAUUAAUCUAUCGACACUACUUGUAUGGUAUAAUUUAAAUGGGUGUGUGUGGGUAUAUAAAUUUGAAAUUCUAUUGUAUCAAAGAAAAAUUUAGAAAAAAAUAAAAAAAAAAAAGAAUUUGCAAUUUAUAAUUUGAGAUAAAAAUAAAAAAAUGAGAUUUGUGAUAAACCAUAAAUUAAGCUCAAAAAAAGUUACAACAAAUAUGGUUAAUGUUAUUUAUAUAUAUACUUAAUAAAAGUAAAAAUAUCGAAAUUCCAAUAUUAUUUUUAUUUAAUAAAAUAUAAUUAAUAUAUUUUAUAUAAAAUUUAAAUAUUUUAUUGAAAUAUUAUGUUAGGUAAAUUUAUAAAUAAAAUUAAUUUUACUAAAAUUUGAGAUAAGAGAAUUAAAUUAAUAAAAGGCAUAUUUCAUAUUUUAUAGUUAUUAUUAAUAAAAAAUUAUUAUAAAAAUAAAAAAUCAAUUCUACAACAUAAUGAAAUAUUUUUAUUAAAAAAACCAGAAAUGAUUGAUGGAAUAUAUUUCCAAUUUUCGACGUUCAUAAAAAAAAAAAGAGUGGUCCUAAUAAUUUAUUUAUUGGGAAAAAAAAAGUGGUCCUAUUAAUUUACCUCACAUUUGAAAUGUGUUAUAUGUAAUAAUAAUAAUAUCUAUAUAAAUUUUGGACGUUGAUCCUUUCCCAUCUCUAUAAAUUCGCAUGGAGAACUAAAGCAACACAUAUCAACACAAUUUAUAUAACCAUGAAAACCACAACAGCUUCGGUGUUUCUUCUUUUCAUCAUCUUCUCAGUCGCACUAUCGUCCUUUUUGUUUGGUGUAGCCAACGCUACAAACGACCCUGUGCUCGACAUUGAUGGCAACGAGGUUCAAACUGGCACCCCAUACUACGUUGUGUCGUCGAUAUGGGGUGCUGGUGGUGGGGGGCUUGCCCUAGGUAGGCCUAGAGGAAAGCCAUGCCCGGAAGUCGUUACUCAAAGACGAUCCGGUGACGAUGGUAUUCCGGUGAUAUUUUCUAAUUCGGACUCCAACGAUGGCAUUGUUCGCCUAUCCUCUGACAUAAACAUAGAGUUCAUUCCCCUCAGACCCAAACUUUGCCGAACAACAACGGUGUGGAAGGUCGAUGAUUACGACCAUUCAGCCGGAAAAUGGUGGGUGAUAACCGAUGGAGUUAAAGGGAACCCGGGUGCCAACACUUUGACCAGUUGGUUUAGAAUAGAGAAGGUGGGUGAUUUAAGUUACAAAUUUAAGUACUGCCCCACAGUAUGUGGAACAUGCCCAGCUUUAUGCAACGAAGUUGGGAAAGACUCAGAUGGAGAAAUGGUACGUUUUGCUCUCUCCACUGGCCCUGGAUGGUCAUUUUACUUUAAGAAAGUUGAAAAAUCAGCCAUGGAGAUUGAACAAGUUGUUCAUAUUUAGAUUGAAAGCAAUCAUUCUGCAUGAACUAGUAGUUAUUAUAUAAUAUUAGCUUCAAGUAAAUAAUGCUGAGAGAACUGAUUGUUAAGAUUGCCUUGUUUGAAGCAGCAGCAUGUAUAUAUAUAUAUGCUUGCUUACAAGGUUUGUCUCUCAGAGUCCUUCUCUUUGUACUCUUUUCAGCUUAAU
Molecule: long non-coding RNA, 43356 nt
Filed under: Gossypium barbadense (sea-island cotton)
Lineage: Eukaryota; Viridiplantae; Streptophyta; Magnoliopsida; Malvales; Malvaceae
Description: long non-coding RNA (GBAR_LNC020333)
Source: RNAcentral